This 14466-nucleotide long non-coding RNA is filed under the name Pelobates cultripes (western spadefoot toad). The record is from RNAcentral. Lineage: Eukaryota; Metazoa; Chordata; Amphibia; Anura; Pelobatidae.
CUUUUCCUAAAUGAAUAUGGAUAAAAAGUAUUCCGUUGAAAAAUGAAGUUAACAUGAUGCAGAAAUGUAUUACAGAGUAAGUAGAAUCUUUGGAUAAAAUGGCAGCUUACAAAAUGUAUGCUAAAAAAGUUAUUUUUUCAUCUCACCUGUUCUUGAUCUAAAUUCUGGAAUUCAUCCAGGUACAAAAUUACCUUACCCUUGUAUGUAUAGGAAGGCCAGCAGAGAAUUGAGUAGACGUAAGUUGACCAGUUGUGUCAGCAGUUUUACCACAGAAAUAAACAAAAUAUAGUGUUUACAGUAGACAUAGUGAUUCUGGGGAGGGACAUAUUUAUAAUGAACUAAGGGUUAAUUUUCAGUGUGGCUGUACAGCUUUAUUGACGGACUAACUAAAGAACUAGCUAACUAAGAGCUGAAAUGAGCUAGCAUUAGUAAGAAGUGAAUGUUGCCAUACAAUAAAACCUUGCAAAUUGUGCCUAGUAGUUAUAAAAUUCCAAAUGUAAAGCUUUACAAAACACAAUUAUACAAGCAUUGUAGGAAUACACUAUUUACUCAUUACAUGUUUUAAUGUAUUAGACUUUUAAAAAAAUAUUUUUUUGUACUAUUCAUAACAAUUAGCAAGGUUACUGCUGAGAAUUUCAUAUUUAAGACAAAAAAACAAACAACUGAAAACAGAUUUGAUUUGAAGAUUUUUUUUUUUUAAUCUGGUCCUAUAGCCUAAAUGUUGAAAUUCACAUUGAAUUCAGUUUGAAUUCCUGGCUAUUCUCACUUUAGGAAAUAACCUUGUUAGUUUAUUACUUCAAACAUCUUUUGACAAGAUCCGUGUAUAAGGUCAAAUUUGUUUAUUGAAUUUUCCAGCAUGAUAUUUUUGGAAGAUAUGUGUUGUGCUUUGAGCAGGCAGAGUAGCCAUAUGCUUGCAUUAUUUAACAAAAACCUGUCUUAACAUAAUAUUGGCAGGCAUGUUUGCAUAGAACUUGUUUCCAAUCUAAUUUGAAAAAGAUACUUUCAUUAAAUUAAACUGAUGUAAUAUAACUGCAGUACAUGUUUAUAUAACAUAUACAUAUACUUAAAACUGUGUUUUUUGCCUUUUUUUGGAUCAAUAGCAAAAUCAGGAAGACGGCUGAACUUGAAGAAUUCAUGUCUCUUUUCAGCCUAUGUAAGUAUGAAACUAUGUAAAAAUUGCUGCAUUUUACUGAUUUAAUCCCGGAAAAAUCACAGUCUGAAGACCCCAUGCUAUGUAGCAUUUCCUACUUAUUUUGCAUUUGCAGCCUAGUGUUUGUUAAUAGUGAGAUAUUCACUUUUUAUAUCUAAUUUUAAUGGCUGGAUUGUUACAAUAUAAUUACUCCAUAAUUGGUUCUUUAGGUGCUUAAAGGAUUCUGGCAUAUCAAUGAAUCCACUUGUAAAUCAAACACAUCAAUUUCCGAGCAGCCUUCUUUAUGGGUUUUGUGUUUUUUAUAUAGUACAUUUUACAUAGUACAAUACAUUUUUUGUGUCCUCUUGUAAAGUGGUAAUACUAUGUAAACCUGCAAUAUGCAUAUUCAGUAAAAACCUGCAUUGUUCUGUAAUGUUCAGACACCAAACCCCCCGAGCUAUGCAUUGGUCAAAAAAGGAUGGAAUGUAAUAUAGAAAAUUAGCUAAAAUAAAUAUUUGUAGUAGGAAGUGAAAGAAACAGUGAUGAAAUGUGUGAUGUGACAAUACAAAGUUUUCUAAGCCUCUACAUGAGAAGGCAUUGUAUGAAUGAAGUAUCUGAGUAGAAGUGUUGAGGUAGGCUGGCAAUGAGUAGGCUAAUUUAUCAAGUUCAAUAGUGGUAGAACAUGAGAUACUCUGGUUAAAUUGUGUCUGAAAGUCAGAUCAGGUGGAAGAACAGCUUAAUGCAUAGCACAUGAUAAAAAAUCUAAAUAACCACCUCACCUAUAGAGAGAAAAGACUUACACUGGGCUGCACUGAUUCUCACAUACCUAAAUCAAGAUUGCAUUCAAUAGAGUUUAAAUAAACUUUUCUUUAAAAUAUAAUAUAUAAUAAAAACAGUCCAUAAAAUAUAUUUUAGUUAGUUCAAGGGUUUUGUGCAGCUCUUCCUCCUUUUGCAUCCUUAUCAUUGCUAUAUGCACCAAGCAAAAAAAUAUAUCAUCAUCUAAUAUAAAGCACAACCAGAAUAAAACUUUGUAGUGUAGUAUUUAUUACGUUUGACCAUAAAACAAUGAACAGACAGACACCUGAAAGGUGGGUACUCACAAACAACGUGCCUCCACACCGGCACUAGUGGGAUAUCAUAUAAAUACAAGUUAAAUCCAAUUUUACCUCCAGCCCUCUGUACCAUCUUUCUUCCAAUAAAUGCAGCAGUAAACACCAGUAGUCUCAAUCACACAAUACACAGAAAGUACAGUAUGCUUUUUAAAUACAUUUUAAAAUUGGAUGCUGUUCUUUUAACCAAGAGAGUCUAGAGUAAUACAUUAUUUCCCACCCAUGUGUGGUGAUUGUAGAUAUAGUUAAAAAAAUUAGUCUUCCUCUGAUUUUCUUAUCUUGAGAGUGAUGAGAUAAGGUCUUUUAAUGAUGCAAUUGUAUCCAUCAUCAUUAACAUUUAUUUAGUGGGGGCAGGGGGGGGGGGACAAUAGGUCCCCCCUUAUUGUUAAUUUUAGGGCCCCCACCCACCGCUCAGGGGUGGGGGCCGGGGGGGACAAUAGGUCACCCCUUUAUUGUUAAUUUUAGGGCCCCCACCCACCGCUCAGGGGUGGGGGCCGGGGGGACAAUAGGUCCCCCCUUAUUGUUAAUUUUAGGGCCCCCACCCACCGCUCAGGGGUGGGAGCCGGGGGGGGGGACAAUAGGGCCCCCCUUAUUGUUAAUAUUAGGGCCCCCACCCACUGCUCAGGGGUGGGGGCCAGGGGGGACAAUAGGUCCCCCCUUAUUGUUAUUAGGGCCCCCACCCACCCCAUUGUUAUUUUUAGGGCCCCCACCCACCGCUCAGGGGUGGGGGCCGGGGGGGACAAUAGGUCCCCCUUAUUGUGAAGAACCCUUAGUUCACUGUUAUGGAGAGGCUUAAAUAUCCACCCACACAGCACUGAUGCAUACCUCUGUUGAAGUGACCCAUAGAGUCACGACACGCAUAAGGUUGCAUCUGUCUUUACAACUUUGAAACACACAUCGAACCACAGUGGAACACAAACACGGUGAAUAUUCCAACAGCCGAUAUACAUCUCGGACUCCCCAGCUGUCUCCAAAGCCGGCACAAAGGAGAAACCUCAAAGGAGCACCCAGGCUGUUAGGAGCUAGACUUUUUGAGUGUUCCCUUUUCUACUACACCUUUUAUAAGUGAAUUUUAUUACUGAUUUUAUGUGUUUUAUGAGACUAUAUACACUUAUAUUUUAUGUAUCACACUCUCACUGGGAUUUGAGUCUGAUACUAGAUAAUAAAGAUCAGCAGGCAGGUUCCCUGGUUGCCUCCAUAGCAGGGAUUUUUGCUUGACAUUUGUAUGAGUUUUACAUUUUGGACUAUUGGACUAUUUGCUACACUUUUGCUGCUAUUUGUAACUAUUCCUAUCUGGACAUUUAUGUACUGAAUACGGUAUAUUUCUACUAGCUGUUCAGUUAUAAUGUAAUAAUAAUCAUGAGGAUGUAUUUAUUUACUAUUUAUGCUAGUUUUUCACUUUUUUAUUUGCUAUGUAUAUAUCUGUUUUUUUUUUUUAAAUUAUGUAUUUUUAUUGUGCAGGUGUUUACAGAGCAUAUCAGUAACGCCACAACAGCGUAUGCGUUAAUCAUUACAGCAUUAACAGUGGCACGGAAAAUAGUGCACAUUUAUAUUUUAUAAUAAGACGAUUUUGAGCCAUUUAAACACAUCAUGCAUGUUGCAGAGUGAACUGGUCUAGAUACCAGUGGGUAAGUCAGGUAUGUUUAGCGACUUAAGUUUGAGCUCUAGGCUUGAUCGUAGUUUCUUAGCAUCUAGGUCGUGAUACUUUGAAGGGAUAGUGCCUAAGAGUAUGGUCAGCCCUUUUGCCAUUGGUAAACGGGGCUUCCGCCCAAUUAAGGACAGCGCAGGGUGCGCAGUAGGCAAUUUGAAAUGGUCUAUUGAUUUAGGGACAGGCAAACAUGUGAACAUAGAAACAUAAUCAUGUAUUUAACCAGGCUCCUUCGUGGGGUACCAGGGGAGCUACAGUAGGCAUUUACAUUGGGUAGAGUGAUAUGGCAAUACAGUGUAGUGACAAAACCUGUCUGUGUCCAUGUUGUAAACUCCAAGGAACAGCAAUGAGCGGGUGGUGCAGAUCCUCUAGUCCACAUGUGGUUUCAUGUUUGGCCCAUUGACAUUACUGUUUGGGUGGAUCUUCUUGGGACAAAUGUCUCGGAGGUGGCCGGGUUCUAUGCGUGGGUGUUAGUGGGUUUGUGGGGUUGCUGCAAGGCAUCUUGUGGGAGAUCCCAGGUCGCUAGGUGCAUUCUCGCCUCUUGUAGGUCAGCAAUUGAGUAAUUAGCGUCUCCAUGAAGCACCUGUAGUUUGUGGGGUGGGCGCCACUUGUAUUUGACGAUGUGUCCACGGAGUAAGGUGGUGAGUGGCCUGAGGGUUGCGCGCCAUGCCAUUGUUCCCCGUGACAGGUCCGUAUAGAACGUGAGGAACAUGUCCUCAAAGGCAUACGGUGUGUUUCCCCUGGUGGCGACCAGUAUUGCUACUUUAUCUUGACGUUUUUGAAGUUUGACUAUUAUAUCCCUGGGUGCCGCUAGUGGGGCUUUCGUGGGUUUGGGUAUUCGGAAUGUCCAGCUUUUUGGGGGUGGUAGUCGCUGUUUUUAUCCGUAAAAGUGCUUUUAUUUCUCUGAGCUUGCUGGAUUUGCGACCGGUCGGUUCGGCUGUUGGCUCCGCCCCCCGAUAUAUUUGUUUUUAUGCAAUAAAUUGUUUUGCACAAUAUUAGUUAGUUACUCUUGUUUCCUGCUUGCAAAGAAGGGUUGUGCCCCCAGAGCGUUAACACCUAGAGCCAGGUCCAAAAAGUUCUUAAUUUUAUAUAUAUUUGCCACUUUCAUGUGAAAAUACUACACCAGGUUUCUACUGGUUCUCUCCACAAAUUUUCUUCCCCACAUCUGUCACUUGAGUGGAUAAGAAGAGGGGAUUGUGUCACCAAGUACACUCCUGCCCGUAUGAUUUGAGCCGAUCUUGGGAGGCCCAUUUCCAUGAGAGUUGGACCAUUGUACAUUACUCACACAUCUAAGCAUCUUACAAUUUUACACUAUUAGCCUUUUCUCUUUUUCCCCAACAUAUUUUCCAGUCUCUGAUUUAUUACACCUCGCCCGCUCCACUAUUUUGGUUGGUGUUGGGGUGGAUUUGGGAGUUGUAGUUGCGUGUUGACCAACACUAUUUGAUUUAUUGUACCUAAGCGCCUUGAUAAACACACUGCGGGUUUAUUAAGUACCAUACAUGUGUAUGACUUUCUACCAAAAGAGGUUGUCUUAUCAAAUUCUCUAGAUAUUGAGAAAGCCUGAAUGAUUGAUUCUGGUAUUAGCUUCUCCUAUGAAGACAGCUUCUCCAUGAAAAAAAACAGAGGAUCCCCUUGAACUAUAUAUAAAUCAAAUAAGGUGACUAAUGGCAAAUGACUAUUCAAGAAUCCUCCUUAAGGGAAACCUAGAUCCAAAGAUAUAGAAUAUAAAAUAUAUAAGUAUAUAUAGUAUAAGUACUAUAUAUAUAUAUAUAUAUAUAUAUAUAUAUAUAGUUUCUAUAAUAAAAAAUAAAGCUACAGUUGCAUUUAAUAACAUUCUAAAAUAAAAUAGUUUAAAAACGGAAUUCAAUUUAUAUUUUUUAUCUUUUAAUAUGCACAGUGAAAUUUUUUAGAAGGCUGCAUUUUUCCAAACCAGUGAGAAGAAACAGCUAUAUACUAAUAUAAUGUAACCAUAAAUUGGCAUUACUGUAUUUUGCACACAUAUCCAAGAGCUAGCACAGUAAAAAUGCAAGUUCAGAAAUUUUGAACAAUUUGGAUAAACAAAUGAUGUAUAUUUUUCCACUGGGAUUCUUUUUUGGUCUUUUACUGAGAAUACUUGUCAUAAAAAUGUUGUAGGUUCAGAUUUAUGUGGCUUGGAAUCAAGGUUUUGUCAUCAUUUGGCACAUGUUCCAAACACUGAAAGUGAUAAAAAAUCCCGAGGCUUCCUCACUGUCAUCAUCAGAUUUAUGAAAGUGCUAGUAUCCGUAUAAACAUUAUGUUUUAUCUUAAUUCAAGUUGACCUCAAAGCACCGGAUGUGUCCCGUAUCCAAUGUUUCCAUGUCAACAUCCAGAGGGGAAACAUAACCCCUAGUGUCCUCACAGUUUUAGUUAUACUUUUGUAUUUCACACGGUGCUACAUUUCUAGAUUUUUUUAUAUUCUCCUGGUCGUUUUAUGGGAAACAGAAUGAUUUAAAAGUUUUAGUGCAGACAAACUACCACAGUUGAAUAAUGCAUUUUUCUUACAUUACUUGUGUUCAGUUCAAGAGAUUCAUGCAUCACACAGUAAUCUUAGAAGGAAUGUCUAAAACAUGCCUUUCUAUACAAGUUUUGAAGGAGCACUUAGAACAGUUUAUUAAGAAUUUUACAAUGGCCGUGUUGGCAUUUAAUUAAAGGUAACAAGGUCAAAUCUGCUCAUGUGUUCAUCUGCCCUUUUGAUUUAUUUAUUCUUGCUUCUUUCUUACAUUAUUCUUGCAUUCUUUAAAUAAAGCAACAUUUCAAGCCUAAAAAUAGUAGAGUUCUAUAGUUUAGUUUUUUUCCUUUUACUCUAAAACAUCAUUAUCGUGAACAUUUUAAAUCUUUUCAAAAUAAAUCAGAUUUCAGCAUGACUGACUAUUGACCAUAGACAGACAGCAAGAAUAAAAACUACACCCAUGGUAAAACAUCAAAAAUAGAAAUAGAGAUAUGAAGUAAGAACCCAACUAUAGAGAAUAGAGAAAGAUAGAUGUAACACAUCACAGUAUUUUAGACUCAAAAUGGAAUACCAGUCAAUGAAUUGAAAUAUUUUUUUCUUCAUUGCAAUCAAUUGAAUCAGUAGACUUGCAUGGUGGAAAAAUUUGCUUCAAGCACCGAGCAGGGUCCUCCAGAGUCGGCAAGAAGAUCAAAAGCGCUUUCCUGGAAGCUCUUUGAAAAUGCCUCAUUGUUUGGUCCUUAGUAUAAUUCUGGUCCCUAGCAGUUAGGGUGCUUGUACAUCCUCACUGAGUGCUGGACUGAAUCUACCAGACCCUCAGGGUAUGUAUUACUGCCCCAUUCCUGCGCAGGAUGUAAGAAGGAAAUGGGUCAAUGUAAUAAAAAAUCUAAGAUAUGUUGUGAGACUGUGUUUAAUACAGUCUUCCCACAUACUGUCACCCUCCCACACACACUCAUGCAGUCACCCUUGCCACACUCACCCCCCCAACAUUGUCACACUCACCCUAUCACAAUCACUCUCCUCACUGAACCCUGUAUCAUUACCCUGUAACAUGCGUAACCCUGUCACACUCACCACCCCCCUCUCUGCCAAACUCAUCCUGCACUCUGUCACACUAACCCCAUCAUCCUUUGUAAUACACAGUCACCUCCCAAAUACAAGCAACUACCUCAGAAACAUAUUCUCCCAGACACACACUCACACAAACGUAUGGAGGAACUAGGGAAAGAGACACAUGGAGGUGAUGGGUGGAGGAGGAGACACAUGGAGGGGCAGGUGGAGAGUGAGACACACAGAGGGGCUUGUAAAGGAAACAAGAGACACACAGGGGGCUGGGGAAGGGGAGAAUGAGACACACAUGGAGGUUGUGGGGAUAGAGACACACAGAGGUGCUGGGGUAGAAGAACGACACACAUAGCGACUGGGGAAGGGAAGAAAGAGACAAAGGGGCUGGGGCUAAGAUACACACAAAGGGAGCUUGGGGAAAAAGACACACAGAGGGGCUGGAGAAGCAUAAAAAGAGACACACAAAGGAGCUGUGAGGAAAUAAGAGAUACACAAAAGGGGGUUUAAGAGAAACAAGAGAGGUGUAAGAUAGAUUAAGCGAGUAAGGCAAUAAACAGAGGCAAAAAGAAACAGUUGAGAGAAAUACCUUUUAUUAAAUAUAUACAUUUUGCUAGCAAUCAUGCUAACACAAUACACAGGAGGAACUUGUAAUUGAUGUGAUUCUGAGAGUAAUAUGUAGCAAAGCUCUAGUCCUGACAAGGACUUUUUUCCGCUGGAUGCGUGGUAACUGGAACUCUGGAACAAGGCGCUGUAUUGUGAAUUUCCCUACCUAGUAACUGGACGAUACACAAUGAGUACAGCUCAAAGCUUUAAAGCAAAGAAUACCAAUAUGUCUCCAAUUCUAUGCUUUAAAGCUUUGCCUUAACCCCUCCCCCCCAUUCUAUUUCACUACAUUUCCCAUAUCACCUACUCUAUGUUUUAACUACUCCCCCUUUAUUCCCCAUGUCGGCUGCAGCUUCGUGCCUGCCGUCAAAUCUUAUGUUGUAUCACUCCCUCCUUAGUGUCAGCUGCAGCUCUGUGCAAGCAGACACACUUACUACAUUUCCAACAAUGCCCCUGGUAUGACGCUUACACACGUCUUCAUUGUGAGCUGUCGGCUUACAUUCUCGCCCACUUUACUACAAGCCCCAAUAGCCCUUGCGGCAUAUAUAUCACGGAAACCACGUGAUUAAACUUUACAGUGCAUAUCAGGCUCCCUAUCCCUCAUUUUUAAUAUCUAUUUGCAUGAAUAAGCUCAUACCCCAUUAGAUAUUCUAUAAAUACUAACUACAAUAUGUUUUAAAGUGGUAAAUACAGUUUUUUAUUUUCUGCUUUCUGAUUGGCUGACCAUUAUUUUGGCGCCAAUUUUAAUUAUCUGUACUCCUAUUUAAACCCAUAUUGCCAGCUAAUAUGUUCUAUUCCAUUUUUGAUAAAGCCCUGUGUGGCGAAACACAUUAAAUGUUUUUUAUUUGUGUAUUUUAACAAUAAAAGUUUUUUUGGUUACUUUUUAUUGUACCAAUUUACUUUUUAUUGUAUUUUAUAUGCACAUUUUAUUGCUGGCAUUUUUACUGAUCCUGGACUUAAAGAAAUCCUAGGUGGGGAUUAUUCCACCAACGCUACUAUAAUAGAGCAGUACAUUCUCCUCUUUACUUGUCAGUUUAUUUUAUAUAUUUUAUUUACUACACUCCUUUCAAAAUUGAGAACACUAUUGUUGUUUUUAUACACCCUGGAAGCCUGGAUACCUAAACCGGACAGACGGAAACACCUCUCCAUUGUAUCCCAUAGCGGGGUUGUACCGGUAGAUGCCAUCCAUCCCAGAGCUGGCUGAAGCUCUUUUAAAUGUGUGUCUACUAGCUUUAUUUUAUCCAUUUUACCUCUGGAACAUUAUCGGCUGUCUGUCGUAUCUCCCCUUGUCUCUCCACAUAUACAGAUAUUUUAUCAUCCGGACAGAUCAACUCCUGAGGAUUGCACCCCAUAUUUAUCCUGUUAUAUUAUUGAGACUUUUUAGAUGUAUUUUACCAUCCAGACAGAUCAACCCUUAAAGAUUGCACCACUAUUUUAGUGAGAUUUUAUUUCAUUUUUUACUUACAUAGCCUCUUUUUAUUAUUGUAUCAUUUAGACCAUUAGGUCAGUUUUCUAAUUGUAUAUUUACUGUUACUAGACUUUGGGCGCAACCCUCACCUUCUCUCUGUUUUUACAUCCUGUAUCUCAAAGAGUCUUAGAGGGACUCCCUUUUUGGGUUGCUGCCCCCAUCCUGUUACUUAGCGCUGACUCUCCCUCUUGUUGUACAUGUUAUUUCUGAACCGGACGAUGGCACAAAAGAGUCUUGGCACAAAAUUGCUGGCAGAUUGGGGCUUUCUGCAAUCAAUGUACACUUUGAACCAUUCCCACAUAUUCCCCACUAAGGUGUCAGGAGAGUGGCAGAUGGCUAGAUCUCCUACUAAGAAAAGGCCGUCCUCAACUAGCUAAAUGAAGACGACCAGUUAAUUAAAAACAUAAGACAAUAAACCAGUUCUGUGAGGAACAGAAAGGAAAAGGAUAUUAAACGUGGUGGUUUCUGUUCCUCACAGAACUGGUUUAUUGUCUUAUGUUUUUAAUUAACUGAUUCAAUGAUGAUAGAUGCUCAUUCUGCAUGUUACCAUGAGCAACUGCCCUGCGUGAAAGUCCUCAGGCUAAGUUUCUAGGUCCUAGCGAGGUUUACCUGCAUGUAGAUAAGGACCCUAUAUGCAAAUACAGGAGUCUAUAUCUGGUCAGAUCAAUAAUAUGGGUAUUUAAAUAGCCUCCAUCAAGGAUAUUCAAAUAGCCCCCAUCAGUGUACACCCACUGAGUGGACGCGCAAUUACUUGGUCAAUACCCACAUCUGAGUUAAGCCAGGCAGUUAAUAUCGCAUAGCUGUGCUAACAUUUGCUACUGCAUUUAGUAGGUCCAGGUCACCUACUAAACUAGGGGAAGUGGACCAAAAUACAGUUGCUAAAGUCUAGACGCUAACAGUUGGUAACAAAUCGGACAAAUGAAAAUUGAUUUAAAAAAAACAAAAAAACAAACAAACUAAACAAUAGAAUCCCUCCCCCCCACAAAAUAAAUAAACAAAUAAAUACAUAAUAGGACUGAUCACAUUAUUUCUUUUGUUGGAUUAUUUUACAUAUUGAUAUACAUGUUAAUGGCUCUAUCAGUCUCGAGUUUCUAGCAUAACGCAUAGAAGUGAUUGGAUUGUGGUGACACCUACCCUGUUAGAAUUACGUAAGGCUAACAUACUUUACAAUCCCAGUAUUGUAUGAGUCAGUCAGACCCUCCUCCUCUCAUGCACCUCAGCCAGAUGGGUGAAUGCGGGUAUUGGCAACGCCGGUCCUCCCACUGGCCCAAAGUUGUUCCCUUGCUCGUAAGGGUGCUAUGUAUAUACUUUGUGUGGUUAAUGUUAUUCAUAUUUGGCUGAUAAGGCAACAAUACUCAAUGUACUCAGUGCAUCGGUGGGGACAAUGGCCCCAUCCCCCCCUCUCUGCAUACAAUGGUUAGCACACAAAGCAACACUACGGGGUCAUCUAAAUAGGAUCCCUUAUUAAACGCAAGUGUGUUGAAAACAAAUCAAACCUGCUUGCAGAAAUUGAGGUCCUAGAAACUCAAAAUAAACAGAACCAUCUAAAUGCCUCUCUAACAAAAUCAAACAAACACAACAAAAACUCCACACACUUGAGCUACAUGUCACAGAAAGACAUAUGAGAUCCCUGAAACAAACUUAUUACCACCUCGGGAACAAGGCAGGCAAGCUUCUAGCACGUAAGCUAAAGCAUAAAAACAAUAAGACUAAAAUCCCUUACUUGACUGGUCAGAAUAGAGACAGAAUAUAGAACCAUCAAGACAUUGUUGAGGAAUUGAGCAAAUAUUACACCCCACUUUACAAUUUGAGCCUAGACACGACAUUAUGCCAGCCCUCCCAAAGUGAUAUAGACUCCUUCCUUGACCAAACCCCACUGCUGCAACUGACUGAUGACCAGAGAAAUAUACUGUGCAGCCCCUUCACAGAUAUACUGGGCAGCCCCUUCACAGAAGAUGAAGUUUGUGAGGUUAUCAGAUCCCUUCCUUAGCACAAGCCACCUGGUCCUGAUGGGCUUACAAAUUAGUACUACAUUAAACUACAAAAUGUUUUACUACCAUACCUUACAACACUAUUUGACCACAUUAAAUCCUCAGGAACGUUCCCGCAGGAAAUGUUAGAGGCUAACAUAGUCACCCUCUCCAAACCGAACAAACACCCACAUCUCUGCUCAAACCGGAGACCAAUAUCACUAUUAAAUGCGGACAUCAAGAUGUAUGCAAAACUGUUGGCCACUUAUAUCAAACUGAUGCUACUUCACCCUGGAACAGGCUGGCCUUGUGCCGGGUAAGCAGGUGGGCGACAAUACAUGCUACUUCAUUGACCUCAUAGAAUGGGCAAAACAUAGUGAUCAAAAGGGGAUAGUACUUGCGCUUGACGCUGAAAAAGCAUUUGAUCGCCUAAAUUGGUCCUACAUAGCUUCGACUUUAUCCAGACUGGGCUUCUCUUCAGCUUUGGUUGUAGCAUCCAAGCCCUGUACAUCUCCCCAACAGCACACAUCUUUAAUUAUGGAUUUACUUCCUCAGCAUUUCCUAUCAAGAAUGGCACUGGCCAAGACUGCCCACUUUCCCCUAUAAUCUUUAUACUAUGUCUAGAACCAUUAGUGAGGCAAAUUUAAAAUUCCCCAAACAUUAGAGGAUUAUCUACCCCAGCAGCAGAACAGAAACUGUCUCUCUUCGCUGAUGAUGUUUUACUCUUUCUUACACAACCAAUUACCUCAGUACCUCAUGAUCUUUUGGUGAGAUACGGAGAAGUCUCUUUUUAUAAAAAUAAUGUGUCUAAAACUCAGGCAUUACCUAUAGGAAUCUCCCGUGAGAACAAGUUGACUUUGGAGCUCUCUUACUGAUAGGAUUGGCGCAAAACAAUCUCUCUCUUAUUCAGGUAUUAAAUUUACAAAAGUUACUAAUCUUCUUACACAAGAAAACUAUUACCCACUAAUACAUAAACUACAGUUACAAAUGGGAAGAGUUAGAGGUGUCAUGGCUGGGAUGGGUGAACUCGAUUAAGAUGAUGGUGCUUUCACACAUAUUAUAUCUAUUUCAAACACUGCCCAUAGCUCUACCAAACUCUUUAGUAAAAAAAUUUAAAUCUAUAGUGAAUGCACAUAUCUGGAGGAAAAAAAAAAACGCCAUGGGUUCGAUACCGCCUUAUGUGGUUAUCGCAUAUAAAAGGAGGACUGAGCAUCCCCCAUAUUCACACAUACUACAGGGGAUCAGUAUUAUCACUGGGCAUGCACAUUAUGUCAAAGAAUACACAACCUAUAUAGCUUACAUUUGAAAAUGCAUAUCUCCAAUAGCAAAGGUUAGAACACUUGCUGUGGGCAUCGAUACUGCCCUCCUCUAUCCCAAGCGGCUACUAUCCACUUCCAAGUCUAGCAUUGCAUCACAUUGGAAGAGUACAACCUUGCCAUCCUUACAAGAUAUUUUACACAAAGUAGAGAACUAAUGGCGCACAAAGUACUAGGCACACUAAGCAAAGAUACACAAAUGUGGACCAGUUGGACAGAUGCUAGAAUCGCCACAUAAUGACAGGUAAUAGGAUAACACUUUCUGCCUUAGUAGAUGAUUGGAGUCCCCCACUGACAGCUAGAUCUACAAUGUGUCUGACGCUAAUGCGAGGAUCACGAACCAUGCAGAGCAUUUAGUUUAUUGGAUUUGUUGAGAAUCCAAGUUUAUUUCCUAUAUACUAUUUCUUUCUUUAUUAGUUAAAUAUGGUUUUAAAAAAAUGGCUUCUCUAUAUCCUGGGAUGGGGCACAUGCAUACGCUGGCCGACGAUGCGUCCAAGAAGUGAGACGGUCAAUGCAACCUAAGCGGUGUAUCAUCCCUUACACUACUAACAUAAGUACCUGAAGUGAAGGAAUGCAACAACUCAUUGUGCUCCAUACUCAUAGCAUAUGACUACAGCAUCCUCAUUUUAUAUUUUACUGUAAGAACAAUGUACUCGAAGCCUUUAUGCUCACUUGACGCAAUGUAUUGUUUCUUAAUAUGUAUGAAAAUCUCAAUAAAAACAAUAUAAAAAAAAUAUACAUUAACCUCCUUUCUUCCAGGUGCAAUCUUUUAUAACAAUACCAAUGUUCUUAUCUCCUAUGAGUGUAUUUAGGCGAGUAUUAAUUACCAUUUGUCCAAAGACUGGAAUCCAGUACAAUACGAUAAUAAAUUGUAAUAGUAAUCAAAUAUUUAUUUGAAAUUAGCAACAAUGACAACUUCAGGUUGUUCUAACAGUAUAUGUAUGAUAAAAAAAUCAUUCUGGUUUCUGUGAUAGUAAUCGGGGAAAAAAAUUAAUCCAUACGGUCUUAGAACAAAAGCAAGAGCAUAAAACAAUACAUUCAUAGAAUUGAAAGGAGAUAUAAUAUAAUUUAUAAUAAGUUAAUAUGAAGUAAAUAUAUUAAGUACAUAUAGUAAAGUAGUUCACAUGUUUUUAAUAAUGCAGAUGCAGUGCUUCUAAGAUGGAAUGUUAUCCACAUAUUUAGUCCUUUCUGUCAAGUAGUUUAUCAAAGAUGUAACUGGAACAUUUAUGUAAUUAGAUCAUAAAAUGAAAUAUGGUGUAAAGGUAUAAUAGUAGUUUAAUGGCAGUGAUCCUUUAAAUUGUUUCUUUGGAAUUUUAAUCCCUUUUGUUUGUAUGGAUAGAAUGGCGGAGUUCUUCAUCUUCCUUGGAAUUGGUCUGUACAUAAAUACAGUUAGAUAUCUGUCCUUUGCUCAGGACCUAUCUCUGCAGUUGUUCUUUGUCAUCAGUGGAUGGAGAACCCACCUGUGGUGACAGGAUGAGAGUUUUUAGAAUUGUAUUUGAUUAUUUUUGCACGAGUGAUCAGCAUCCAAACUGUUUUCGCAUUUUCUUUGCCUUUUCUGCCACUGUUGCCAAUGUCCAAGUUUGGACAAAUUUACAUUUAAUUUUUUUUUCUUCAGAUUAAAGUGAAUCUCAUCAGGAUACAGAUACUCACCAGCAAAAUACAACAUGACCAAAGGCACAGACCUUGGAAUCUCU